Chlorocebus sabaeus (green monkey) is the source of this 2234-nucleotide non-coding RNA. The record is from RefSeq and is a predicted model, not a curated record. Lineage: Eukaryota; Metazoa; Chordata; Mammalia; Primates; Cercopithecidae.
CUACUCACAGGGCAGGUUGGGGCCCAAGGAAUGGCCCAGCAACCACUCCUCACCCAGCACAGAGCACAGGGCAGGUCGGGGCCCAAGGAAUGGCCCAGCAACUGCUCCUCACCCAGCACAGAGCACACUGUCUUUCCUGCCACCUGCAAUUAUGCUGUGAAGAUGACGGGGUGUGGUCAUCAUGAUUCAGAAGAAUCAAGAUCUAUGACCAUUUUAGGCAAAGAGAGAAACUUCGGGAAUUGCUGAGGACAAGUGAACCUUGUUUUGCUUUUUUUAAAAAAAUACUAAAACCCCACUUCAGCAAUAUUUAGUUGUCAUUUAAAUCAAGCUGGUAUUAUUAAGGGGUUGAUGAACUGAGGUGUCACUCACAAUUACUGCCUUCCAAGAAUUCAUGGGGUGGAUUUCAGUAAUUCUUGUUUGCUUCUGGCUUAGAAAUUGUCAGAAUGAUUUUUCUUUUAUACUUUCCAAUACUUGACUUAAUAUGCAUUUAGUGACUAUUCUUUUUUUUUCAAUACAGUUUACAAGACGACAGAAGUAUACCAGUUCUUAGGCUAGAACUGGAUUUCUCCCUCUACAAUUACACGAUUACUCUCAAAAACCAAGAAAGCGUACUGCUCAACUCAGGCUCUGGCAUGAUUCUUAAAAAGAAAACUGACUCUAGACUACAGGGGCUUACAAAAAGGGGAUUUUUUAACCACUGAGACAUUUGUUAUGUUAACUGUAGGGGAAACGUCUCACCAACAGUCAAAACCAAUGAGCAGGAUUUUUUUUUUAAGUUACAUAGCAUCUAAGUUUUCUGAUCACUACCGGGUACUUUUCAACCAAUAAGAAAAAGGAACCAACACUCAGCUCUGUAGAAAUCUACCUUCUUUUAGAAACCUCAGGCCUCUGCACCUUUAGACAACUCAUUUACGACGACAACCUUCCAUGGCUUCUCACAUGCCACCCAGGGCACGGUAAAAAUGGCAAUUUCUUACACCGAAAGGUCCUUUUUAUGUAACAGACAGACAUCCCCAAACCACAACUCUUUUGUCCUAUUGAUGACUGGCAUGAGAUCAAAUCUCUAGCGUCCCCUAACUGCCCCGACAGGGUCUAGGACAACACAGUUGUUAAAAAGGACAGUCGGGUCGUUCAACUCCCACACUGCCUCAGGUGUUUUCUCAAAGCACGACAAUUCUGCAAUGGAGACUUACACGUGGAAAAGAUUCAAACUAUGCAGGUACCCUCAGUCCUCUGCCACUACCAGCUCAACAGCUUGAGCUCAGAGGAUCAAGUCAAGUCUCUGUCUCACUUUUAAUCUAGCACACAACAGACACAACUCAGUCAGUACACGGUAUCGAAGCAUGCAACAGGCCAUUGGUAACAAAACUCAGUUAGAAUAAGUGUACAUUAAGUAAAUCUUUGUAGUUGAGUAGAAAUCACAAAACAGUUGGUGAGGACAGGUCUGUAGGCUCAGCUUUACAUCCAGGUUUUUAUACACCAGCAGCCAGAUUCACAAUGGAUAGAUAUUGCACCAGAAAGAUGUGUGCAGGGAAAAGAAAUCAUCAUCACAUUUAAUGUUCAUGAUAAAAAAAUAAAAACAAAACCAGACAUGACCUCCAUGUAGUACAUAAAGUGCCUUCAGAAUUGGUGCAUUUACAACAAAAACUGGUUAUUUAGCUACCAUUAGCAAACGCAUACAAACAGGAGACUAAACAGAUCUGGUUUCCACAGUUUUGAAUCAAGCAGUGCCAAGUUUCAUUCAAAGUGUCUCUACUACAAACAGCAAAGAGGAAAUAGAAUAAAAGAUGACUGUACAGCGCCAGGAAAGGCUAAAUAAUUUCUCUGAUGAGAAAUGGGAGUCCAACCCUGUCUCAAAUGUGUUACAGCACAUGUAAUUACUUCUAAGGAAUAAUGGUGUGAUUCCUUUCAAGUCAACACAAAAUUUGUCAUGCUAUGUUACAAUUCUCUCAGCCUGUAGCUAUUAGCUAAAUUUGUACAAAAAAAACCCCAAAACAAAAAUGUAAUAUCCAGUUUUUCAUUCUGAGUAUGGAAAAAAUUAUUAUGUCUAAUAUUAUACUGGAAAUUCUCUCAAAGUACUUGUCUGUAGAAGGUUUUUGGACAAACACUUGCCUUCCAAUUCUAAGUAGAGGGUGGAGGUGUCAGAGACUUAAAAAAUAAAAAUGUCAUUGACAUUAAGCCUGGUAUGAAAGUGAAAUACAAAAAAAAAAAAAAAAAAAAGCUCACUUUUCCAA